This 464-nucleotide ribosomal RNA is filed under the name uncultured bacterium. RNAcentral describes it as "partial 16S ribosomal RNA". It matches the Rfam family "Bacterial small subunit ribosomal RNA", at positions 28 to 507 of the family's 1533-position model. The record is from RNAcentral.
GACGAACGCUGGCGGCGUGCUUAACACAUGCAAGUCGAACGGAAAGGCCCAGCUUGCUGGGUGCUCGAGUGGCGAACGGGUGAGUAACACGUGGGUGAUCUGCCUCUAACUUCGGGAUAAGCUUGGGAAACUGGGUCUAAUACCGGAUAGGACAAUCGUUUAGUGUCGGUUGUGGAAAGUUUUUUCGGUUAGGGAUGAGCCCGCGGCCUAUCAGCUUGUUGGUGGGGUAAUGGCCUACCAAGGCGUCGACGGGUAGCCGGCCUGAGAGGGUGGACGGCCACAUUGGGAGUGAGAAACGGCCCAGACUCCUACGGGAGGCAGGAGUGGGGAAUAUUGCACAAUGGGCGGAAGCCUGAUGCAGCGACGCCGGGUGGGGGAUGACGGCCUUCGGGUUGUAAACCUCUUUCGACAGGGACGAAGCUUUGGUGACGGUACCUGUAUAAGAAGCACCGGCUAACUACGUG